AGAAAUACCCCACAUACUUAACUAAGAUUAUGCUGUUGUUUUAUUCAAACAUUAUAGCUGUUUGAUAAAAAUUUCAGAAUCAGUUCAUUAUCCGUUGUCAUCAUUGCCCAGAAUUAAUUUGAACUAAACAUGAGAUAAAAAUUCCGUAAUCAACUAUUAUUUCAGAGAAACUUUUCAACAAUUCUUCAAACAUUUAUAGUUAUCUUCAAUCCUCCUUUCCAACACUUUAAAAUUUAAUGAAGAAGGCAUUUGACGAAUAGCUCUCUCAUAUUAUCUUUGUGGCGAUAAAACAACUCCAACUUCAGUACGUUUUCGACGAGAAUCAAGCCUGUUUGCUUCUUCUCAAUGGCAGAUAAUCCAUCUAGCUUUUCUAGUUCCUCUUGUACAUCAUUGCACUUUCUAGCUAGCUCAACCUGCAUCAGUUCCUGUUCGACGACAGUUCACUUCGUAGCGCUUCUCCCAAGUUUGCAAAAACCUCCAUGAUUGGCUUCAAUCCAUCAAGUAGCUCCUUCCGACACUCGUCAAUUUAGCCUCAGCCUCGGCAACACGAGCUGCAUGUUGUGGCUUCUUUUGAGUUUAUUAUUCGAAGGGUUCAAUUAUUGGGCGAUGAGACUGAGUUUAACCUGGCUAGCCAGUCAAUAGAAAACAGAGCAACAACAGAGAGAAGGUAACUAAAAGGAAAGAAAGAGAUAUAGGUAUACUUUUCUUAGUUAGCUCUAGCUAGCUCUCCAUCAAAUCGUGAAUCACAAAAUGGGAUUGUUGGACUUUUUCAUAUUACUUAUCGGAGUUGUUUAUCAAUGCCAAGCCAGGACAUAAGCACAGGGCAAUGCAUGUCUGUAUUUUUUUAUCUGAAUUGUGAAAAUGGACUGCGAAGGCUGUGAAAGGAGAGUCUGAAGUUUUGUACUGCACAUGAGAGGUCUAUUCUUACUUUACUUCAGAUAUCCUUUAAUUACUAACUUGUUACAUAUUGAUAUGAAUUGUUGAUAUGCACCUUGUGUUUGUAACUUAACGAUCCAGGGGCGAAGUCAGUGAAGUAUUUGAACAACAACAAAAACAACCACAUAAUGCAAGUAUUUGAACCACAGAAUGCAAUAAACUUCAACAUCCGUAAUACAACAACAAGUAAUCAAAGUAAUACCUGAAUUGAGAAAAUUCGCAGUGACAGUAGAGUUGAGAAGGAAAUUGAUUUUCUAUAGAGUUUCUUUGUUUUGAUCUCUUCUCCUCUUCCGUCAAGAGGUAAACCUUAGUGAGCUGCGGAUCCUUACAAGGGGAUGGGGAUGAUUAGGGAUAUGACAAAUGAUGGUGCACGGGGAAGGGGAUGAUUAGGGAUCUAGACUAUACCUAAUCAGCUAUCUUGGUUGACCUCGAGACUGUGGAACGGACUUCGUCGAAAUUGGAAGUGACGCCAGAGUCACGAACACCGUCGCUUCCGGCUUCAGAGAGCUACGGAGGCGAUCAGAGAUACUGUGGAAAUCAGAUGGAGCUGCGAAGGUGGAGUUCGAAUUUCUCUCGCAUCGACGGCAGCUGUGGAAAUCAGAUUGAGCUUGACAUAAUAGGGUUUCGAAGUAAUAUAUAUCAAUGGCAAUUUUGUAAUAAUAGAUACCUACAAGGGCAGCGUGUAUAUUUUUUAGAUAGAAUCUCAAAAUUCGA
RNAcentral lists this long non-coding RNA (1650 nucleotides) under Linum usitatissimum (flax). RNAcentral's name for it is "long non-coding RNA (LUSI_LNC003090)". Lineage: Eukaryota; Viridiplantae; Streptophyta; Magnoliopsida; Malpighiales; Linaceae. The record is from RNAcentral.